RNAcentral lists this long non-coding RNA (333 nucleotides) under Calidris pugnax (ruff). RNAcentral describes it as "lncRNA (ENSCPUG00000019992.1)". Lineage: Eukaryota; Metazoa; Chordata; Aves; Charadriiformes; Scolopacidae. The record is from RNAcentral.
AUGCAUUUAAGUGCCUGUGAGUGGAGCACAAGUGGCUUUGUCCUGUCUCCCCCAGCAGUCUGCAUUCUCUACUGCAAGGAGAGAAAUACCACCUUACAAAAGAUGGCAGAGCACAUCAUUGCGGUGAUCCAAACCAACCAUACAACAGCCAGGACAGGAGCACAUACCGAACAGAAAGGGCUUAGGAACCAGUGGACUACUUCCUAUCACUGCCUUCUCAGGUCUCAAAGGGUGCAGUGCAGAGAGGAGCAUCUGAUAAUCCCUACUGUGGAAGGGAAAGCAAUGGCCCAGAGCAUUGUAUCAUUGAGUAGCCGAGUUGGGAAUCCCAUCUGA